GAUGAACGCUGGCGGCGUGCCUAAUACAUGCAAGUCGAGCGAACAGACGAGGAGCUUGCUCCUCUGACGUUAGCGGCGGACGGAUGAGUAACACGUGGAUAACCUACCUAUAAGACUGGGAUAACUUCGGGAAACCGGAGCUAAUACCGGAUAAUAUAUUGAACCGCAUGGUUCAAUAGUGAAAGACGGUUUUGCUGUCACUUAUAGAUGAAUCCGCGCCGCAUUAGCUAGUUGGUAAGGUAACGGCUUACCAAGGCAACGAUGCGUAGCCGACCUGAGAGGGUGAUCGGCCACACUGGAACUGAGACACGGUCCAGACUCCUACGGGAGGCAGCAGUAGGGAAUCUUCCGCAAUGGGCGAAAGCCUGACGGAGCAACGCCGCGUGAGUGAUGAAGGUCUUCGGAUCGUAAAACUCUGUUAUUAGGGAAGAACAAAUGUGUAAGUAACUAUGCACGUCUUGACGGUACCUAAUCAGAAAGCCACGGCUAACUACGUG
RNAcentral lists this ribosomal RNA (497 nucleotides) under uncultured bacterium. Its description in RNAcentral is "partial 16S ribosomal RNA". It matches the Rfam family "Bacterial small subunit ribosomal RNA", at positions 28 to 507 of the family's 1533-position model. The record is from RNAcentral.